Molecule: ribosomal RNA, 448 nt
Filed under: uncultured bacterium
Lineage: Bacteria
Description: bacterial SSU rRNA
Rfam family: Bacterial small subunit ribosomal RNA
Source: RNAcentral
ACCAGACUCCUACGGGAGGCAGCAGUGGGGGAUAUUGCACAAUGGGGGGAACCCUGAUGCAGCGACGCCGCGUGGGUGAAGAAGCGCCUCGGCGCGUAAAGCCCUGUCAGCAGGGAAGAAAAUGACGGUACCUGAAGAAGAAGCCCCGGCUAACUACGUGCCAGCAGCCGCGGUAAUACGUAGGGGGCAAGCGUUAUCCGGAUUUACUGGGUGUAAAGGGGGCGCAGACGGCGAUGCAAGCCAGGAGUGAAAGCCCGGGGCCCAACCCCGGGACUGCUCUUGGGACUGCGUGGCUGGAGUGCAGGAGGGGCAGGCGGAAUUCCUGGUGUAGCGGUGAAAUGCGUAGAUAUCAGGAGGAACACCGGUGGCGAAGGCGGCCUGCUGGACGACAACUGACGGUGAGGCGCGAAAGCGUGGGGAGCAAACAGGAUUAGAUACCCGCGUAAAA